AGUGAACGCUGGCGGUAGGCCUAACACAUGCAAGUCGAACGGCAGCACAGUAAGAGCUUGCCCUUACGGGUGGCGAGUGGCGGACGGGUGAGGAAUACAUCGGAAUCUACUUUUUCGUGGGGGAUAACGUAGGGAAACUUACGCUAAUACCGCAUACGACCUACGGGUGAAAGCAGGGGAUCUUCGGACCUUGCGCGAUUGAAUGAGCCGAUGUCGGAUUAGCUAGUUGGCGGGGUAAAGGCCCACCAAGGCGACGAUCCGUAGCUGGUCUGAGAGGAUGAUCAGCCACACUGGAACUGAGACACGGUCCAGACUCCUACGGGAGGCAGCAGUGGGGUAUAUUGGACAAUGGGCGCAAGCCUGAUCCAGCCAUACCGCGUGGGUGAAGAAGGCCUUCGGGUUGUAAAGCCCUUUUGUUGGGAAAGAAAAGCAGCAGGUUAAUACCCCGCUGUUCUGACGGUACCCAAAGAAUAAGCACCGGCUAACUUCGUG
This 492-nucleotide ribosomal RNA is filed under the name uncultured bacterium. RNAcentral's name for it is "partial 16S ribosomal RNA". It matches the Rfam family "Bacterial small subunit ribosomal RNA", at positions 29 to 507 of the family's 1533-position model. The record is from RNAcentral.